AACGAACGCUGGCGACAUGCCUAACACAUGCAAGUCGAACGAGACCUUCGGGUCUAGUGGCGCACGGGGGCGUAACGCGGGGGAACCUGCCCUUAGGUUCGGAAUAACUCCCCGAAAGGGGUGCUAAUACCGGAUAAUGUCUUCGGACCAAAGAUUUAUCGCCUUUGGAUGGGCCCGCGUUGGAUUAGCUAGUUGGUAGGGUAAAAGCCUACCAAGGCGACGAUCCAUAGCUGGUCUGAGAGGAUGAUCAGCCACACUGGGACUGAGACACGGCCCAGACUCCUAUGGGAGGCAGCAGUGGGGAAUAUUGGACGAGGGGCGAAAGCCUGAUCCAGCAAUGCCGCGUGAGUGAUGAAGGCCUUAGGGUUGUAAAGCUCUUUUACCCGGGAUGAUAAUGACAGUACCGGGAGAAUAAGCUCCGGCUAACUCCGUG
RNAcentral lists this ribosomal RNA (433 nucleotides) under uncultured bacterium. RNAcentral's name for it is "partial 16S ribosomal RNA". It matches the Rfam family "Bacterial small subunit ribosomal RNA", at positions 29 to 507 of the family's 1533-position model. The record is from RNAcentral.